CGCGCCACUGCACUCCAGCCUGGGUGACAGAGUGAGACUCCAUCUCAAAAAAAUAAUAAUAGCCUCAAAGCCUAAGUGUACUAUGCUUAAUUUAUAAAUUAAACUUUAUCAUAGGUACCUGUGAAUAGCAACGAACAGAACAUAUAGGGUUCUGCACUACCUGCAGUGCCAGGCAUCCACGGGGGACCUUGGACCACAUUCCCUGAGGAUAUGGAGCAAUUACUGUUAACAGACGACACCCGUAUGCAGCUUAAUGUGUGGCAGGCUCACUGUGAGCACUGAUACUAUUAAUUUAUUUAACCAGCAAACUACCUAUAAAUAUUCUGUCAAUACUCUUCCAAUUUUACAGAUGGGGUAACUGAGGCCCAAAGACGCUGACUUGUCCAGAGGUUCAGCUGGAAUCUCCACCUGGAUGUGAGGCCCAGGAAAACCUGCAGGUCCCCAGGACGGGUGGAAGAGGGACGUUCCCCACAAUGGCAGUGGCUUUGUUUCCAUUUCGGAGGCCAGACCACAGAGCCACAGGAGUACCCAGCCCUCCAUCCACACUGCCUGCCUCCACCAAGGGGCCCUUGGAUGGGGGCUUCCCCAGCCAGAAGGGCAGGCAGAAACAAACUAGCCCCAUCUAGGCCCAACUCUGCCUCUGACACCACCAAAUGCAGUGGAGAAAGGUGUGUGGGAGCUGCAGAGACCAUCCAAGGCUUCCCCUCAGCCAGCACUGGCCACCCACACAGUUUCUGUCCUGGGUGGACCCGGAUUGGCUCCUUGCCUCCAAGUCCGACUGGGAACAAGCUGAGGAAGACACAAACUCCAGGCUAAGUCUUGACUCCCACCACCCGGCUUUGCGAGAGAACCCCCGGGUUUGGACCUCCUGCCCAAGCACAUCCCUGCUGAAGAGGAACCCGGCUCAAGGUCACCUUGGGGGACAGACCUUGCCUGGCCAUGCAGUCUCUCCAGGCAGGAGAACUGCAACAUUUUGGAGCAAAGACAGGCCCGGGGCCCAGAGAUUCGGAUUCAGCAGGCCUGGGAUGGGGCCCAAGGAGUCUGUCUCUUGAACAGAGCUUCUAUCCUGGAUGGUUCUGUAAACCCCAGGUGAGGACUCCACACUCAGGGGCAUCGACGGUCCCAGGACACUGAGCCUGCCGAGUGCCCCACCACAAGCCCUGGCCAGGCCACCCGCCAGCCCACACGCAGAGCUGUGGCCGG
Molecule: long non-coding RNA, 1203 nt
Filed under: Homo sapiens (human)
Lineage: Eukaryota; Metazoa; Chordata; Mammalia; Primates; Hominidae
Description: HSALNT0355014
Source: RNAcentral